GAUGAACGCUGGCGGCGUGCCUAAUACAUGCAAGUCGAGCGAACAGACGAGGAGCUUGCUCCUCUGACGUUAGCGGCGGACGGGUGAGUAACACGUGGAUAACCUACCUAUAAGACUGGGAUAACUUCGGGAAACCGGAGCUAAUACCGGAUAAUAUAUUGAACCGCAUGGUUCAAUAGUGAAAGACGGUUUUGCUGUCACUUAUAGAUGGAUCCGCGCCGCAUUAGCUAGUUGGUAAGGUAACGGCUUACCAAGGCAACGAUCCGUAGCCGACCUGAGAGGGUGAUCGGCCACACUGGAACUGAGACACGGUCCAGACUCCUACGGGAGGCAGCAGUAGGGAAUAUUCCGCAAUGGGCGAAAGCCUGACGGAGCAACGCCGCGUGAGUGAUGAAGGUCUUCGGAUCGUAAAACUCUGUUAGUAGGGAAGAACAAAUGUGUAAGUAACUCUGCACGUCUUGACGGUACCUAAUCAGAAAGCCACGGCUAACUACGUG
RNAcentral lists this ribosomal RNA (497 nucleotides) under uncultured bacterium. Its description in RNAcentral is "partial 16S ribosomal RNA". It matches the Rfam family "Bacterial small subunit ribosomal RNA", at positions 28 to 507 of the family's 1533-position model. The record is from RNAcentral.